UACGUAGGGUGCAAGCGUUAAUCGGAAUUACUGGGCGUAAAGCGUGCGCAGGCGGCUUUGCAAGACAGAUGUGAAAUCCCCGGGCUUAACCUGGGAACUGCAUUUGUGACUGCAUGGCUGGAGUGCGGCAGGAGGGGGAUGGAAUUCCGCGUGUAGCAGUGAAAUGCGUAGAUAUGCGGAGGAACACCGAUGGCGAAGGCAAUCCCCUGGGCCGUAACUGACGCUGAGGAGCGAAAGCAUGGGGAGCGAACAGG
RNAcentral lists this ribosomal RNA (254 nucleotides) under uncultured bacterium. RNAcentral describes it as "partial 16S ribosomal RNA". It matches the Rfam family "Bacterial small subunit ribosomal RNA", at positions 524 to 776 of the family's 1533-position model. The record is from RNAcentral.